This 253-nucleotide ribosomal RNA is filed under the name uncultured bacterium. Its description in RNAcentral is "partial 16S ribosomal RNA". It matches the Rfam family "Bacterial small subunit ribosomal RNA", at positions 524 to 776 of the family's 1533-position model. The record is from RNAcentral.
UACGUAGGGUGCGAGCGUUAAUCGGAAUUACUGGGCGUAAAGCGCACGCAGGCGGUCUGAUUAGUCAGAAGUGAAAGCCCCGGGCUCAACCUGGGAACUGCAUCCGAUACUGAUCGGCUAGAGUAUGAGAGAGGGAGGUAGAAUUCCACGUGUAGCGGUGAAAUGCGUAGAUAUGUGGAGGAAUACCGGUGGCGAAGGCGGCCUCCUGGCUUAAUACUGACGCUGAGGUGCGAAAGCGUGGGGAGCAAACAGG